RNAcentral lists this microRNA precursor (59 nucleotides) under Homo sapiens (human). Its description in RNAcentral is "Hsa-Mir-430-P25_pre stem-loop". It matches the Rfam family "mir-515 microRNA precursor family", at positions 16 to 74 of the family's 87-position model. Lineage: Eukaryota; Metazoa; Chordata; Mammalia; Primates; Hominidae. The record is from RNAcentral.
CUCUAGAGGGAAGCACUUUCUGUUGCUUGAAAGAAGAGAAAGCGCUUCCUUUUAGAGGA